UACGUAGGGAGCAAGCGUUGUCCGGAAUCAUUGGGCGUAAAGCGCGCGUAGGCGGCCAUGUAAGUCCGCUGUGAAAGUCAAAGGCUCAACCUUUGAAAGCCGGUGGAUACUGCAUGGCUAGAGUACGGAAGAGGCGAGUGGAAUUCCUGGUGUAGCGGUGGAAUGCGCAGAUAUCAGGAGGAACACCAGUAGCGAAGGCAGCUCGCUGGGACGUUACUGACACUGAGGCGCGAAAGCGUGGGGAGCGAACAGG
Molecule: ribosomal RNA, 253 nt
Filed under: uncultured bacterium
Lineage: Bacteria
Description: partial 16S ribosomal RNA
Rfam family: Bacterial small subunit ribosomal RNA
Source: RNAcentral